GACGAACCGUACGAACGUUAUUCGGAAUCACUGGGCUUAAAGGGUGCGUAGGCGGCGCUGAAAGUUGGGUGUGAAAUCCCUCGGCUCAACCGAGGAACUGCAUUCAAAACUACAGUGCUUGAGGGAGACAGAGGUGAGCGGAACUUAGGGUGGAGCGGUGAAAUGCGUUGAUAUCCUAAGGAACACCCGUGGCGAAAGCGGCUCACUGGGUCUCUUCUGACGCUGAGGCACGAAAGCUAGGGGAGCGAACGGG
RNAcentral lists this ribosomal RNA (253 nucleotides) under uncultured bacterium. RNAcentral describes it as "partial 16S ribosomal RNA". It matches the Rfam family "Bacterial small subunit ribosomal RNA", at positions 524 to 776 of the family's 1533-position model. The record is from RNAcentral.